CGUAGGAUGCAAGCGUUGUCCGGAUUUAUUGGGCGUAAAGAGUUCGUAGGUGGUUCGUUAAGUCUGGUGUAAAAGACUGGGGCUCAACCCUGGGAUCGCGCUGGAUACUGGCGGACUGGAGUGUGGUAGAGGCAAGUGGAAUUCCCAGUGUAGCGGUGAAAUGCGUAGAUAUUGGGAAGAACACCGGUGGCGCAAGCGACUUGCUGGGCCAUAACUGACACUGAGGAACGAAAGCUAGGGGAGCGAAUGGGAUUAGAUACCCCAGUAGUCCUAGCUGUAAACGAUGGAUACUAGACGUAUCGGGUAUCGACCCCUGAUGUGUCGCAGCAAACGCGAUAAGUAUCCCGCCUGAGUAGUACGGCCGCAAGGUUG
Molecule: ribosomal RNA, 372 nt
Filed under: uncultured organism
Description: bacterial SSU rRNA
Rfam family: Bacterial small subunit ribosomal RNA
Source: RNAcentral